This 351-nucleotide ribosomal RNA is filed under the name uncultured bacterium. RNAcentral describes it as "bacterial SSU rRNA". It matches the Rfam family "Bacterial small subunit ribosomal RNA", at positions 355 to 697 of the family's 1533-position model. The record is from RNAcentral.
UGGGGAAUAUUGCGGCAAUGGGCGAAAGCCUGACGCAGCGACGCCGCGUGAGGGAUGAAGGUCUUCGGAUCGUAAACCUCUGUCAGAAGGGAAAAAUGUACAGUGCUCCAAUCAACACUGUAUUGAUGGUACCUUCAGAGGAAGCACCGGCUAACUCCGUGCCAGCAGCCGCGGUAAUGCGGAGGGUGCAAGCGUUAAUCGGAAUUACUGGGCGUAAAGCGCGCGUAGGUUGUUUUGUAAGUCAGAGGUGUAAUCCCACGGCUUAACCGUGGAACUGCCUUUGAUACUGCAUAACUUGGAUCCGGGAGAGGACAGCGGAAUUCCAGGUGUAGGAGUGAAAUCCGUAGAUAU